Sitophilus oryzae (rice weevil) is the source of this 547-nucleotide long non-coding RNA. RefSeq lists it as uncharacterized. NCBI's taxonomy places the organism in Eukaryota, Metazoa, Arthropoda, Insecta, Coleoptera, Curculionidae. The record is from RefSeq and is a predicted model, not a curated record. The transcript is spliced from 3 exons.
GCCCGCAAAUCUCGUUGCCCGUAGUGCCGAUCCGGACGUCGCGACGCUCGAUCAUCGGCGACUUCGUCGAUUUUUUUACGGAAAAUUACGGGCAAGGUCGACCGCCACGACUAACAAAUCCAGCAUCUUUGUUCCCUGGCAUUACCUGACUAACUACAAAAGUUACCUACCAUAUCAGCAACCAACGAAAAUAGUAUUUAUCUAUCCCACAAUUGUUCAAAGAGAGCUGGAAAUUACUAAACUCGUGAAAACAUGGAUGGAAAAUCAUGUUUAGGUCAUUUCACUGCCAUCGCUGGCUAAAUGUGAAUAAUUAGAGGCCGGUAUCUGGUAGUGUUAUUAAAAAUUUAGCUGCCCUCCAGUUUUACGAGCUAUGUACCGAGCUGGGAAUGAGUAAAGAAGAGAUUUGGACGCUUUUUCAUUAUGCAUUUGUUAUGAAAGGUGAAGUAAGCGCGUGAUGGCUGGGGAGCCCCAUGGCUCAUCAAAGGGAAAGUAACAUUACUAGUACCACUCCUAUUUCGAUCAUCAACAGUACCACCCACCGACCCGC